Molecule: ribosomal RNA, 397 nt
Filed under: uncultured bacterium
Lineage: Bacteria
Description: partial 16S ribosomal RNA
Rfam family: Bacterial small subunit ribosomal RNA
Source: RNAcentral
AUACGUAGGGGGCGAGCGUUGUCCGGAAUGAUUGGGCGUAAAGGGCGCGUAGGCGGCCCGGUAAGUCUGGAGUGAAAGUCCUGUUUUUAAGAUGGGAAUUGCUUUGGAUACUGUCGGGCUUGAGUGCAGGAGAGGUAAGUGGAAUUCCCAGUGUAGCGGUGAAAUGCGUAGAGAUUGGGAGGAACACCAGUGGCGAAGGCGACUUACUGGACUGUAACUGACGCUGAGGCGCGAAAGUGUGGGGAGCAAACAGGAUUAGAUACCCUGGUAGUCCACACUGUAAACGAUGAAUGCUAGGUGUAGGGGGUAUCGACCCCUUCUGUGCCGCAGUCAACACAAUAAGCAUUCCGCCUGGGGAGUACGGCCGCAAGGUUGAAACUCAAAUGAAUGGGCGGGG